RNAcentral lists this ribosomal RNA (505 nucleotides) under uncultured bacterium. RNAcentral describes it as "partial 16S ribosomal RNA". It matches the Rfam family "Bacterial small subunit ribosomal RNA", at positions 28 to 507 of the family's 1533-position model. The record is from RNAcentral.
GACGAACGCUGGCGGCGUGCCUAAUACAUGCAAGUAGAACGCACAAUUUAUACCGUAGCUUGCUACACCAUAGACUGUGAGUUGCGAACGGGUGAGUAACGCGUAGGUAACCUGCCUGGUAGCGGGGGAUAACUAUUGGAAACGAUAGCUAAUACCGCAUAAUAUUGAUUAUUGCAUGAUAAUUAAUUGAAAGGUGCAAUUGCACCACUACCAGAUGGGCCUGCGUUGUAUUAGCUAGUAGGUGAGGUAACGGCUCACCUAGGCGACGAUACAUAGCCGACCUGAGAGGGUGAUCGGCCACACUGGGACUGAGACACGGCCCAGACUCCUACGGGAGGCAGCAGUAGGGAAUCUUCGGCAAUGGACGAAAGUCUGACCGAGCAACGCCGCGUGAGUGAAGAAGGUUUUCGGAUCGUAAAGCUCUGUUGUAAGAGAAGAACGGGUGUGAGAGUGGAAAGUUCACACUGUGACGGUAUCUUACCAGAAAGGGACGGCUAACUACGUG